UGCUUCCCAUAACAAUAACGCCCUUAAAUGAGAGAGAGAGAGAUGUUACGAGCGAGGGACAGAGAGAGACAGUUAAUUAUAAUCUUACUUGCUGUGGAAAUGAGUCUGAUCCAGUAGUUAGUAGAGUAGUCUGAUCCAGGUGUGUUUUAGACCAGUAGUUAGUAGUCUGAUCCAGGUGGGUUUUAGACCAGUAGUUAGUAGAGUAGUCUGAUCCUGGUGUGUUUUAGACCGGUAGUUAGUAGAGUAGUCUGAUCCAGGUGUGUUUUAGACCAGUACUUAGUAGAGUAGUCUGAUCCAGGUGUGUUUUAGACCAGUAGUUAGUAGUCUGAUCCAGGUGUGUUUUAGACCGGUAGUUAGUAGAGUAGUCUGAUCCUGGUGUGUUUUAGACCGGUAGUUAGUAGAGUAGUCUGAUCCAGGUGUGUUUUAGACCAGUAGUUAGUAGAGUAGUCUGAUCCUGGUGUGUUUUAGACCGGUAGUUAGUAGUCUGAUCCAGGUGUGUUUUAGACCAGUACUUAGUAGUCUGAUCCAGGUGUGUUUUAGAUCAGUAGUUAGUAGAGUAGUCUGAUCCAGGUGUGUUUUAGACCAGUACUUAGUAGUCUGAUCCAGGUGUGUUUUAGAUCAGUAGUUAGUAGAGUAGUCUGAUCCAGGUGUGUUUUAGA
Long non-coding RNA from Oncorhynchus tshawytscha (Chinook salmon), 659 nucleotides. The record is from Ensembl. Lineage: Eukaryota; Metazoa; Chordata; Actinopteri; Salmoniformes; Salmonidae.